RNAcentral lists this ribosomal RNA (198 nucleotides) under uncultured bacterium. RNAcentral describes it as "partial 16S ribosomal RNA". It matches the Rfam family "Bacterial small subunit ribosomal RNA", at positions 1303 to 1500 of the family's 1533-position model. The record is from RNAcentral.
GGCUGCAACUCGCCUACAUGAAGUCGGAAUUGCUAGUAAUCGCGGAUCAGCAUGCCGCGGUGAAUACGUUCCCGGGCCUUGUACACACCGCCCGUCACACCAUGAGAGUCGAUAACACCCGAAGCCUGUAGUCUAACCAUAAGGAGGACGCAGUCGAAGGUGGGAUUGAUAAUUAGGGUGAAGUCGUAACAAGGUACC